Molecule: ribosomal RNA, 251 nt
Filed under: uncultured bacterium
Lineage: Bacteria
Also listed under: 1 other name
Description: partial 16S ribosomal RNA
Rfam family: Bacterial small subunit ribosomal RNA
Source: RNAcentral
ACGUAGGUGGCAAGCGUUGUCCGGAUUUACUGGGUGUAAAGGGCGUGUAGGCGGAGCAGCAAGUCAGAAGUGAAAUCUCUGGGCUCAACCCAGAAACUGCUUUUGAAACUGUUGCCCUUGAGUAUCGGAGAGGCAGGCGGAAUUCCUAGUGUAGCGGUGAAAUGCGUAGAUAUUAGGAGGAACACCAGUGGCGAAGGCGGCCUGCUGGACGACAACUGACGCUGAGGCGCGAAAGCGUGGGGAGCAAACAG